This 396-nucleotide ribosomal RNA is filed under the name uncultured bacterium. RNAcentral describes it as "bacterial SSU rRNA". It matches the Rfam family "Bacterial small subunit ribosomal RNA", at positions 47 to 439 of the family's 1533-position model. The record is from RNAcentral.
CCUAACACAUGCAAGUCGAACGGUAACAGGAAGCAGCUUGCUGCUUCGCUGACGAGUGGCGGACGGGUGAGUAAUGUCUGGGAAGCUGCCUGAUGGAGGGGGAUAACUACUGGAAACGGUAGCUAAUACCGCAUAAUGUCGCAAGACCAUAGAGGGGGACCUUCGGGCCUCUUGCCAUCGGAUGUGCCCAGAUGGGAUUAGCUUGUUGGUGGGGUAACGGCUCACCAAGGCGACGAUCCCUAGCUGGUCUGAGAGGAUGACCAGCCACACUGGAACUGAGACACGGUCCAGACUCCUACGGGAGGCAGCAGUGGGGAAUAUUGCACAAUGGGCGCAAGCCUGAUGCAGCCAUGCCGCGUGUAUGAAGAAGGCCUUCGGGUUGUAAAGUACUUUCAG